Helianthus annuus (common sunflower) is the source of this 2185-nucleotide RNA transcript. RefSeq lists it as uncharacterized. The record is from RefSeq and is a predicted model, not a curated record. NCBI's taxonomy places the organism in Eukaryota, Viridiplantae, Streptophyta, Magnoliopsida, Asterales, Asteraceae. The transcript is spliced from 6 exons.
CAUUACCUCCUAUUGGAUUUUCAAACCCCAUCAAAUUCACCCCGCCCAAUCUUCCCUCUUCCUAAACCCUCAAAUUCUCAAAUCUUCACUCUUCCUAAGAAUUCGCAAAUUCUGUAACUCACUCCUACCUUCCUUAUCGUACACAUUGCACACCCUUUCAUCACUUCUGACCCAACCAAUUUCUAGGGUUUUUAUAUUGUUUAUGAAUUGUGGGUACCUUGGCCGGCUAAUCGGAGACGAAUGUACCACCACCGCCGAUGAAGUUGGCUGACUCUCUCUCAUGUGUAAUUUGGCCAUGUCGGUUUUGACUCGUUUGUGAGAUUGGAUGGUUACAAGAGAAUCCCAACCCCAAGAUUCCAAUUUCACAUCGUUUUUUUUUUUUUUCUCACAUUCCUCUAUUAGGAUGGAUGCAGAGUCUCCUUUUGAGUAAGUUUUGAUACCGCUGAUUUCAUCACACUUCAUAUGCCUCUCACUCCAAAGAUAUUGAAUGAUGAAAACUUUGAAAAGAUGAAAAAAGGUGUUAGAAUAGUAAACGUCGCUCGUGGUGGAGUGAUAGAUAAAGAUGCUUUGGUUAGAUCAUUAGAUGCUGGCAUUGUAGCACAGCUCCAAAGCAAAUACGGGGCUUCUACUAAAACAAAUUCCUUGAAAAGGUCUAUAUCAGAAACAACUUUGGCGAGAAUGUAUGGCUUAUUCGAAUCAGGACUGUGUGCGGUCCAACCCAAACCCGAAAGAAGAGGGGGCUUACGUAGACAAAGCAGUGUUGCAGAUUUUGGAACAAGAGGGCCUAAAGCUAUCCAGGAUCCCCCAAACCUGAGGAGAAAUGCAUCUACGACAGCUAAUAUGAAUGAGCUUGCUUCAAACUAUACUCCUGUAAAUCCAGGUAAAAAGCCAGAAAAAGGUCUUGAUGCUAACUAAUUGGCAUCUUUAGAGUGAAAAAUGGUAUAGUCGGUUUGGGCCUACUAUAUUCAGUUUGGUACUAAAUGGUGUCUUUGGAACUAGCAAAUGCUAUGAUCAAAAAAGAAUAGUGUUAUGGUUAGAGUUCUAUGUUAGGAGUGUUACAAAUAUGAUAUUUUAUUUUUAUUUUUUGCUUCUUUUAUGUUGUGACUCUGCAUUCUCAGCUCCACUUAGAUGCACAAGCAGCUGAUCUUUUGAUGAAAAGCUUUUUGUACAGACCCUAUACAAGUUGCAGGCUGCACUAGAUGUAUUCACUAUAGAACCUCCACCAAAGGAUAGCAAGUUGGUUAAUCAUGAAAAUGUCACUGUCACUCCUCAUCUUGGUGCUAACACCACAGAAGCUCAGGUUUGUAAAUAACCACAAGAGCUGCGACAUUUGUUUGGAUUUUGUAAAGGUCGUUAUUUGGAUAUAUUUAUAUACAAAUUGGUCGAUUUUCAUUAUCUUUUAGACUUUAGAGGUGGCAAGAUGGGUGGAUUGGCCAGGUUGGGUAAUGGAUCAAAAUGGGUUUAGGUCGAAUCGGGUCAUUUAGAGUAUAGGUCGACAUGACUUGUACGGGUCAAAUGUGUUUAGCAGAAGGCAAACUAGAUUGUGAGGCAGCUUGCAAGAAUAACUGCUCGUGCACCGCCUAUGCAAAUCCAAACAUCGCUACAGGUAGAGUUGGGUGCUUGCUAUGGUUUGGGGGUUUGAUUGAUGUCCGAGUGUACCCACAAAAUGGGCAAGAUCUUUAUGUUAGACUUGUCGCCUCAGAAUUAUCAGGUAAAACAGUAACAUUACCAAAUUAAUGCAUUUGAUGUUUCAAUCUGUUAAACAUGUAAAUCUUCUAGACCUCCAUUCCAGCUUUUAUGGAAAGAAACGACUAGUUAUGCAGACAAAACAUGAUGAACUAUAUGAAGUUGUUUCGCAAAGGAGUUUUGAUUGGCUGAGACAAAAAAAGACCAGCUAAGGGCCUAAAUGAAAGUGGGGAGACUCUUUUAGAGAAUGAGAGGAGGUUAUAUUGUUGCAAGUGUUGCUAGGAGUGAUGCACGCUCAGACCAAAGUGCUCUUGUUGCAAGUGCUGCAGGUUAUGUUGCAGUUGCUACAUCAUUUGUAGAUAACUUUUGAUUAGUAGUUUAUGUAUUUAGUAUUAGUAGAUAGCUUUGGAUUAGUAUUUUAUGUAUUUAGUAUUAAAAUUGAAAACUUAUGUACGGAUUUUGGUUUAUUAUUGUUAAUAUCAAUAAUUUGGUUUUUAGA